UCCCCCUUUCCUGUCCUAAAAAAAACCCAAGAGCUUAAUUAAAGUACCGCAAGUUGUAACAGUUCUGCAAAUGCCAAAAAGAGAAAACAUACAAAAAUGGUUUCCAGGUCCAGGGUAAUGAUGCCCUUUGUAAGCUGCCAUCAAGCCGGGGUUUAUGCCAAUUAUUACGAUGUCCAGAUCGAAGGUCAAAAUAUCAGGUAAAGUCUUUGUCAGCAGCUCAGCUUCAGACACACCAUUAAAACGGUCCACUUUUCUUUUCACUUUAAAAGUGUCCGUAAUCUUUUCUUGUUUCCCUUUCGACUUGGUCGCUUUUUCUUUCUUAGCAGCAGGCUUUUUGGGUUGCUUUGGCUCAGUUGCUUUGGCUUUUCUCUUCCUUCCACCCUUUUU
Molecule: long non-coding RNA, 387 nt
Filed under: Gallus gallus (chicken)
Lineage: Eukaryota; Metazoa; Chordata; Aves; Galliformes; Phasianidae
Source: RNAcentral